AGGUGAUGAUGAUAACAUAUAAUCCCAGCUCUAUGAGACCUUUUGUGGUCAAGGAGUAUAACUAUGUUCAUACAUUUAUCUGAGCCU
This 87-nucleotide small nucleolar RNA is filed under the name Arabidopsis thaliana (thale cress). The record is from RNAcentral. Lineage: Eukaryota; Viridiplantae; Streptophyta; Magnoliopsida; Brassicales; Brassicaceae.